Molecule: long non-coding RNA, 905 nt
Organism: Apteryx rowi (Okarito brown kiwi)
Lineage: Eukaryota; Metazoa; Chordata; Aves; Apterygiformes; Apterygidae
Source: Ensembl
UGCUAAUGAUGGGAAUUGGAGGAGCUUGGUCUUUCAUGGUACAUGCCUCGCUAAGAGCACUGGGCUCUCAAACCUUGUGUUUGUGAGUGGGAAGAGGAGAAGUCUUCACAUUGCCUAUGUAGUCCUUGUUAAUGGCUACACUAAAAGCAUCUCAUGCCCUGAAAAGGAGAUAGAUCAAGCUCUCGCAGCAGCUGGAAGACAGGACUGACUAACUGAAGAUCAUCUGCCACUGUAUUAGUAGGAGCAGGUCAUGUUACCCUGUAAGAAAUAUUCAUGGGUGCUGCCAGACUGGGCUGUCAGUUUUUGUGUUAAGCCACAAAUACCCUUCUCCUCUAUGUAGGAGGGCUCUCUCACUAGGACUCAAUAAUAGUAUUUGCUGGUUCCCCAUGUAACACUGACCUAAAUGAGCACCUCUAAAUUAUAGAAGUCUCUUGAAAAGGCUAGUCUGAACUGUGCUCUUCCUUGCAGGUCGCAAAUGCCAAGGUCAGGCUGUGGGUGAGGAUCCUAGAAGAGGGUUUUCCAAAAAACAGCCACAGACUACUCACAGUCCAGGAAACCUUUUUAGUCAUGCAGUCCCAAAAGAGGCUUUCUAAUUGUGGCUGUCCUUACCAGAACAAACCAGUUGCUACAGCUGUAACAGCUAAACAUCUUCUAGCUCUGCCAUGACUGAGUAAUCGUCUGCACAUUCAGAGGAUCUCAGCUGUCAUCUGAUGAGUCCAGAGUCAUCGCUACAGAGCUAUAAUCUACAGAAUGCCAAGAACCCCCAGAUGUAUACUCUGGACACCUGCCACUACACCUGCUUUCCUCGAGCUUUGUGUAGCAGUGACAGCCUUUCAGAAGGGAGCCCAUCAGCCUGGAGCUGGGCUGGCUGCAGCACUUCUGCCAUUCUUUGGGAAUCUGGUUAG